CCUACGGGCGGCAGCAGUGGGGAAUUUUGCGCAAUGGGGGAAACCCUGACGCAGCAACGCCGCGUGCGGGACGAAGGCCCUCGGGUCGUAAACCGCUUUCAGCAGGGAAGACCUUACGACGGUACCUGCAGAAGAAGCUCCGGCUAACUACGUGCCAGCAGCCGCGGUAAUACGUAGGGGGCGAGCGUUAUCCGGAUUCAUUGGGCGUAAAGCGCGCGUAGGCGGCCGCCUAAGCGGAACCUAUAACCCCGGGGCUCAACCUCGGGCCGGGGUCCGGACUGGGCGGCGCGAGUGCGGUAGAGGAGGGCGGAAUUCGCGGUGUAGCGGUGGAAUGCGGAGAUAGCGGGAAGAACGCCGAUGGCGAAGGCAGGUCUCUGGGCCGUCACUGACGCUGAGGCGCGAAAGCUGGGGGAGCGAACAGGAUUAGAUACCCUGGUAGUC
RNAcentral lists this ribosomal RNA (441 nucleotides) under uncultured bacterium. RNAcentral describes it as "partial 16S ribosomal RNA". It matches the Rfam family "Bacterial small subunit ribosomal RNA", at positions 338 to 795 of the family's 1533-position model. The record is from RNAcentral.